Molecule: long non-coding RNA, 442 nt
Filed under: Manacus vitellinus (golden-collared manakin)
Lineage: Eukaryota; Metazoa; Chordata; Aves; Passeriformes; Pipridae
Description: lncRNA (ENSMVIG00005017146.1)
Source: RNAcentral
UCACCCGGAUUUGGCAGGAAAGUUCAAGGUGUCCUGGCAGCAGGAAGCUCCCUUGCUCCACCCUCUGCUCUGCACACCAGCUCUCUGAGCUUAUCAAGGAUUUGCUGCACCAGAGCUGCCAGAGACAGUGACCUGUUCCGUGUGGACACUCGAGUGGGAGCUGGACCCCCGGCAUGAAGCACUUCGAGCCCUGGGCAGCCUCCACAGUGCUCCUCUUCACUGCUGCGCUCUGGGAUUCCUGCUCAGCAGCAGCUGAAGCCAUCUCCAAUGUUUCCGGAAGCUCCAUGCCCACAACUGAGUAUGAACCACCAUGUCUUAACGUGAACUUCUGCACGCAGGCGGCCGUGUGCUGCCCGUCGGGCAUGGACGAUUACGGGUGGAUUGCAGCGGCCGUCGGCUGGAGCCUCUGGUUCCUGACUCUCAUCCUGCUCUGCAUGGACAA